This 636-nucleotide ribosomal RNA is filed under the name uncultured Acidobacteriota bacterium. RNAcentral's name for it is "bacterial SSU rRNA". It matches the Rfam family "Bacterial small subunit ribosomal RNA", at positions 28 to 642 of the family's 1533-position model. The record is from RNAcentral. Lineage: Bacteria; Pseudomonadati; Acidobacteriota.
AAUCAACGCUGGCGGCGUGCCUCAGACAUGCAAGUCGAACGCGAAAGCUCCCUUCGGGGAGCAAGUAGAGUGGCGCACGGGUGAGUAACACGUAGGUAAUCUACCUUUGGAUUGGGAAUAACAACCGGAAACGGUUGCUAAUACCGAAUAAUGCAGCGGCACCUAAUGGUGACAGUUGUUAAAGCGGGGGAUCGCAAGACCUCGCGUCUGAAGAGGAGCCUGCGGCAGAUUAGCUAGUUGGUAAGGUAAUGGCUUACCAAGGCUAUGAUCUGUAGCCGGCCUGAGAGGGCGGUCGGCCACACUGACACUGACAUACGGGUCAGACUCCUACGGGAGGCAGCAGUCGGGAAUUUUGGGCAAUGGGCGAAAGCCUGACCCAGCAACGCCGCGUGAAGGAUGAAAUCCCUCGGGAUGUAAACUUCGCAAGAACGGGAAGAAUAAGUCGGUGUAAAUACCACCGACGAUGACGGUACUGUUUGUAAGCUCCGGCUAACUCCGUGCCAGCAGCCGCGGUAAUACGGGGGGAGCAAGCGUUGUUCGGAUUUACUGGGCGUAAAGGGCGCGUAGGCGGCCACCGCAAGUCAGUUGUGAAAUCUCCGGGCUUAACCCGGAAAGGUCAACUGAUACUGCGGGGCU